Molecule: ribosomal RNA, 450 nt
Filed under: uncultured bacterium
Lineage: Bacteria
Description: bacterial SSU rRNA
Rfam family: Bacterial small subunit ribosomal RNA
Source: RNAcentral
GACGAACGCUGGCGGCGUGCUUAACACAUGCAAGUCGAACGGAGCUAUUUAUUUCGGUAAAUCGCUUAGUGGCAAACGGGUGAGUAACGCGUAGGCAACCUGCCCUCAGGAUGGGGACAACGGCUCGAAAGAGCCGCUAAUACCGAAUGACGUAACUCUUCCACAUGGAAGAGAUACUAAAGAUGGGUCAAACCAUCGCCUAAGGAUGGGCCUGCGUCUGAUUAGCCAGUUGGUGAGGUAACGGCUCACCAAAGCGACGAUCAGUAGCCGGUCUGAGAGGAUGAACGGCCACAAUGGGACUGAGACACGGCCCAUACUCCUACGGGAGGCAGCAGUGGGGAAUCUUCCGCAAUGGGCGAAAGCCUGACGGAGCAACGCCGCGUGAGUGAAGAAGGUCUUCGGAUCGUAAAGCUCUGUUGUCGGGGACGAAAGGGUAGACGAGGUAAUGCG